UACGUAGGGCGCAAGCGUUGUCCGGAUUUAUUGGGCGUAAAGAGCUCGUAGGCGGUCUGUCGCGUCGGCUGUGAAACCCCGAGGCUCAACCUCGGGUCUGCAGUCGAUACGGGCAGACUAGAGUACGGUAGGGGAGACUGGAAUUCCUGGUGUAGCGGUGAAAUGCGCAGAUAUCAGGAGGAACACCGGUGGCGAAGGCGGGUCUCUGGGCCGUAACUGACGCUGAGGAGCGAAAGCGUGGGGAGCGAACAGG
RNAcentral lists this ribosomal RNA (253 nucleotides) under uncultured bacterium. RNAcentral describes it as "partial 16S ribosomal RNA". It matches the Rfam family "Bacterial small subunit ribosomal RNA", at positions 524 to 776 of the family's 1533-position model. The record is from RNAcentral.